AAGGAUCAUUGAAUCUAUCACAAUCCACAACCGUGAACCAUACUGUUGGCCUCCACUUUCCUUCGGGACUGUGGGCUGGGCCUGCUUGAUUAAGUUCGGGCAAGGCUCAGGGCCUUGGCAUUGCCUUUACGGGCUUUGUCAGGGUUGGUCUUUAUUAACCCACUAACACCAAACCAAAACAAUACAUCAAAUUCGAGUGAAGGCUUAGAGCCUGACCUCAUUAACCAAGACAACUCUCAACAACGGAUAUCUUGGCUCUC
This 260-nucleotide unclassified non-coding RNA is filed under the name uncultured fungus. RNAcentral describes it as "partial contains 18S rRNA, ITS1, 5.8S rRNA, ITS2 and 28S rRNA". Lineage: Eukaryota; Fungi. The record is from RNAcentral.